Poecilia reticulata (guppy) is the source of this 508-nucleotide non-coding RNA. NCBI's taxonomy places the organism in Eukaryota, Metazoa, Chordata, Actinopteri, Cyprinodontiformes, Poeciliidae. The record is from RefSeq and is a predicted model, not a curated record.
GGCAUCGUCAGGAAUGUCAGCAGGAACUUCCUUCAGACCUGACGGUGAAAUUCACAAGAGAGACAACAGAUGCAGUCAUGAUGACCUGCUGAGCUCUUCAAUCGUGAUGCAACCGAACAGAGGAAAAGCACACUGACGUGACCUGAAGGCACGUAGGAACACACGUGUUUCCCCAUGUCUGCAGCGUUGGACAUUUUCCUGCAGUCUUUUCCCCUCACAGCUGUCAUUCAUUAUUGAUUGGUGGACCCAGGACCAGGUAUUUCUGGAUCCUCAUUGGCUACCUGCAGGCCCAGCUUGCAACACCUCCCGAGGGUUCAUUGACCUCCACUCCCUCGGUCUCUGUGAAACAACAACAACGUCGACUUGAAAGAAUCUGAAUAAAGUCAGCUGUGGUGACUAAUCUACGUGGAUAAACACCCACCUGCAUUCUGAGGUAAUGCUUUGCACAGCUUGUCCUGGCUUCGUGAAAGUCUGCACAUUCAGCACUUGCUGCUGCUCUUUCCAUACU